RNAcentral lists this ribosomal RNA (207 nucleotides) under uncultured bacterium. RNAcentral describes it as "partial 16S ribosomal RNA". It matches the Rfam family "Bacterial small subunit ribosomal RNA", at positions 568 to 774 of the family's 1533-position model. The record is from RNAcentral.
UGCGUAGGUGGGCAGGUAAGUCCGUGGUGAAAUCCUAUAGCUUAACUAUAGAACUGCCAUGGAUACUAUUUGUCUUGAAUGUUGUGGAGGUAAGCGGAACAUGUCAUGUAGCGGUGAAAUGCUUAGAUAUGACAUAGAACACCUAUUGCGAAGGCAGCUUACUACGCAAAUAUUGACACUGAGGCACGAAAGCGUGGGUAGCAAACA